UAUAUAUAUAUAUAGCACUUUUUGUUUUUGUAAGCAUGCAAAUCCUUAUGAUCUGUGUGCAUGGGUUUUAUAUGAUGACAUGAUUGGUGAAGCUUGUGAAGAGGUCCCUCCAUCAGAAAUUACCAUUAAUGAAGGUGAUUCAGGCUAUAAAAAACAAUGUCCAAAGUCCAAACACUAAGAAAAUAGACGGUUGGGAUUGGUGAUUAUUUUGCUCCACAUACUACUACUGGGUCUCAGCCCUCAUUAGGGUGUUUUGGUGAAAAAAGAGCUAAAUGGAGAGCAGACAUGACUUUUCUAGGUUCUUUUGAUCUUGCUCCUAAUGAAUGCUGUGAUUCGAUUUAUCUCCAGGUUUUGUUGGAUGCCAUAGCUACAAUGGUCAGGGGUAUAACAUCCAAAUUAUGAUGUUAUGCAUAUAAAUUAUUUGAGGGAUGCUAAGAAGGAAUGCAGUUACUAGCUGGACUGUUACAGAAAUACUUGGGAAUAGGUUGGACGUACCUUAAUGGCUGAUGGUUGGACUGAUACCUCACAUAGGUUACUGAUUAAUUUUCUUGUCUACUGUCCUAAAGGAGUUUGCUUUCUUAAAUUAGUGGAUGCUUUAGAUGUGUAAAGGAUGCCUUUAAAUUGUUCAAAUUGUUUGAGGAAAUGGUUUUAUGGGUUGAACCUAAUAAUAUUGUCCAUGCUGUCACUGACAAUAGAGCAAAUUAUAAGAUUGCUGGAAGACUAUUGUCUGAGAACUAUAAGAGUAUUACUUCAUUGCCUUGUGCAACAGAUUGCAUAAAUUUGAUUUUAAAAGAUAUAGCUGAGAUGGAUCCUAUGGUUGAUCUUGCCAAACGUGCAUCUAAAGUGACGAAGUUUGUGUAUAAUCAUGCAGUUUUGUUGCUUGGUUGAGGAAAAGAUAGGGUUGAAGAGAAAUUGUAUGCCUCGGUGUAACCCCUUUUGCAAUAACUUUCAUUGCAUUGAGAAGUCUUCAUGAA
Pistacia vera is the source of this 974-nucleotide long non-coding RNA. RefSeq lists it as uncharacterized. The transcript has 2 exons. The record is from RefSeq and is a predicted model, not a curated record. NCBI's taxonomy places the organism in Eukaryota, Viridiplantae, Streptophyta, Magnoliopsida, Sapindales, Anacardiaceae.